CUCCCUGGCAUGUUCCCCCUCUCGCUGGCCUCUUGUGUAAACCUCGCUACCGCAUCAGGUGGCUGGAGGCAGGAGUGGGAGGAGCCGUCUCUGAGCUGGGCAAAUAAGGUAAGAGAGUCAUGUCUCUUUAAUUUGAACUCACUAGUUUAUUUCUGUGUUUUGAACCUCUAUUAUGAAGCUAGCGUGCUGGUCGCAUGGCUGAUGGAACCUGAAUUCUAGGGGUCUGCAUUUGGGGGGUCCAGAUUCCGGAGCCUAAGUGUCAGAAUGCAGGAACCUGGGUUUGGACCUAUAAUCCCAGGUGCAAUCGGAGGUGGCUGAUGCUGGGCUGGUGAGCCUGGAGGGAAGUGCCCCCUGUGUGGGGUCAGAGAGGCGGAAGAGCGGGACACACAUGAUCAGUAGCCAAGCGUGUGGCAAGCCGGAGGCGGUUCGCGUGAGGAAGAAAGGCAGCGACCACCUUGGGAGUGUGCGACGAGAGCAGGACUUCGAGCAGAAGAGGGGAGAGCCCUAAACAGCCAGGACAGCCACGGGGAGGACAUUAAAGAGGAAACACGCGUGCUGCCGCAUCCGUGUAUCCAUCAGCUGGUGCUGCAUAACAAGCAGCCCCCAGUACACACGCACACACGAGGUGGUCCUGGUCAACAGGGUCAACAGGAAGGGCCACCAGGAUCCGAUGGGGGCUCCACACCAAUCACCUCAGUGACCUUGUCCAACCCUGAUCACCCCGGGGCCACCUCUGAACACUGUGGUCAGGUUGAAGCGCCUCCCUCCUGAUACCUCAGCAGACUGGACUCCCGCUGUGUUUCAGAGGAUGAACCCGGCUCAGACCCACGGAGUCUGAGGGCAGGGCAGAGGGGAUGUCCCCUCUCCAGUGCCAGGGGCAGGAGGGCUCUCUGGCUCCAGGAGAACCAGCCCUUCCUUCCAUUCUGGCCUUUACCUGGUUGGACCAGGCCCACCACUCAAGGGAGGCCCUCCCCAGUUACCGCGUCACCUGAACCCCUCGCAGACACAUCUGGAACAACGUUGGGCCCAGCUUCUGGGCACCCGUGGCCCAGCUGUGUCAACACACAAAAGGCACCUCCACCGACUCAGGGAGGCUCGCUGGACCCUGCUGGCCACAGGAGCGUCCCCGGUCCUGGAGUCCUGCCUGCUUCAUCGUCUCCGAGGGAUUUUACAAGUGUGGACUUUGCAAAAUACCAAAGACCAUACAGGAGGUUCCCGCCCAGCCUCCCCAAGGCUGGCCUUUGUCCCCAGCUGCUGGGAGGUGACCUCUAGGCCCCAGGAAUGUCCCUCCUGAUGGGUAUGUCUCCGUUUGCCUGGAGUCUGUGGCCUGGGACAGUCCCAUCUGACAAUAGGAGGAACGAGGGUUUGGGCCAGGCUCUCUGGGGACCAGCCUCCAGGCAAGAGCUCAGCCAGGCAGGCCGUGUGGAGGCCGGGCCGGGCUUCCCUGCUUGGGAGGACUCCUGGGACCCCCCCGGACUUGGCUUGGUGCCUGGCCUUCCUUGGUCAAUUGGAAUUUGUAUCCUGUAGCCACAAUAAAACCGUGAACGUA
Long non-coding RNA from Marmota flaviventris (yellow-bellied marmot), 1549 nucleotides. RefSeq lists it as uncharacterized. NCBI's taxonomy places the organism in Eukaryota, Metazoa, Chordata, Mammalia, Rodentia, Sciuridae. The record is from RefSeq and is a predicted model, not a curated record.